This 334-nucleotide long non-coding RNA is filed under the name Medicago truncatula (barrel medic). RNAcentral describes it as "long non-coding RNA (MTRU_LNC003856)". Lineage: Eukaryota; Viridiplantae; Streptophyta; Magnoliopsida; Fabales; Fabaceae. The record is from RNAcentral.
CUUAAGAAACAACAUAGUUAUGUGAAAAAUUUGGAACAAUCAAAAUUUUCAAGCAAAAAUAAAGUACCUAAUGAAGUUGAAGAUUUCUUCUUUUUUCCUCCAAACCCUUUUUUUCCACCACCUAUUAUCCCUAAUCCACUUCAACCUCCACCUUUGAUUCCUAACCCUUUGCAACCACCACCUUUGAUUCCAAAUCCAUUUCAACCACCAAGUCCACCCUUGAUUCCUAAUCCAUUUCAACCACCAAGUCCACCACUUAUUCCAAAUCCAUUUCAACCUCCUCCAUCAAAUCCACCACUUAUUCCUAAUCCAUUUCAACCUCCCCCAGCAAGUC